AACGAACGCUGGCGGCGUGGAUUAGGCAUGCAAGUCGAGCGAGAAAGGGGUAGCAAUAUCCUGAGUAAAGCGGCGAACUGGUGAGUAACAGGUGGGCAACGUGCCCCGAAGUUGGGGAUAACUCCGAGAAAUCGGAGCUAAUACCGAAUGUGGCCGUUUGGACUUUGGUUCGAACGGUUAAAGACGUAAUUCGCUUCGGGAUCGGCCCGCCCGGAUAGCUAGUUGGCGAGGUAACGGCUCACCAAGGCGACGAUCCGUAGCUGGUCUGAGAGGAUGG
RNAcentral lists this ribosomal RNA (277 nucleotides) under uncultured bacterium. RNAcentral's name for it is "partial 16S ribosomal RNA". It matches the Rfam family "Bacterial small subunit ribosomal RNA", at positions 29 to 303 of the family's 1533-position model. The record is from RNAcentral.